GAUAAACAAAUUGCUAAGAAGAGAUAAUUAUUGAGGGAGUGUGUAUGAUGAGAUAAUAAAAAACUCAAAUUAAGAAAAUUUUUAAUGCAUAUUUAGGAUAGGAUGUAAUAUAUUUGGUAUUAAAUAAUUAUAGUGAAAAAAAUAUAAUUCUAUAAAAAAGAAACAUAAAAUAUCAACAUAAAUACACACCAACCCAUAUUUUUAAGUGUGAAAAACUUGAUUAAACCUUACAAUAAAAAAGCUCAAAAGAAGAAAAUAAGAAUUGAAGAAUAAAAUGUCACAAUCUUCUCAUUAUGGAUAAACUUUCUUUCAAUAGAUGGCUGGUCAAAAGCAUAAGCUCUCGCAUCAUAAGAACAAUCAUUUUUCACAUAAUAAUAUCACUUAAAUGGUGUAAUUGAAUCAAGUUAGGAAAGUCAGUGAUCAAUUACAAUGGGCAUCAUGAAAUAUGGCUCCUAAUAUGAAUCUAUCUAAAAUGUAAUUUGAAGGUUGAAAUUCAUAUUAAAAAAGUAUAUAUAUUAUAGCCAUCAAUCAAAUAUAGUGAUAACUCAAAGAGAUGAGAUAAUAAUAAGCAGAAGCAAA
Arachis ipaensis is the source of this 579-nucleotide non-coding RNA. The record is from RefSeq and is a predicted model, not a curated record. Lineage: Eukaryota; Viridiplantae; Streptophyta; Magnoliopsida; Fabales; Fabaceae.